CACGUAUUUAGCCGGUGCUUCUUACUCAGGUACCGUCAUUUUUCUUCCCUGCUGAUAGAGCUUUACAUACCGAAAUACUUCUUCGCUCACGCGGCGUCGCUGCAUCAGGGUUUCCCCCAUUGUGCAAUAUUCCCCACUGCUGCCUCCCGUGGGAGUUUGGGCCGUGUCUCAGUCCCAAUGUGGCCGGCCACCCUCUCAGGUCGGCUACUGAUCGUCGCCUUGGUGGCCUCUCCCCCGCAACCAGCUAAUCAGACGCGGGCCCAUCCCAUACCACCGGAGUUUUUCACACCAGGCCAUGCGGCCCUUGUGCGCUUAUGCGUUUAGCAGCCGUUUCCGGCUGUUACUCCCCUGUAUGGGGCAGGUUGCCCACGCGUUACCUCGACCCGUCCGCCACUCACGUCACAACUUUCCUUCCUUCCCCGAAGGAAAUCUAAAAAGAGUGCUUCGUUCGACUU
This 455-nucleotide ribosomal RNA is filed under the name uncultured Lachnospiraceae bacterium. RNAcentral's name for it is "partial 16S ribosomal RNA". The record is from RNAcentral. Lineage: Bacteria; Bacillati; Bacillota; Clostridia; Lachnospirales; Lachnospiraceae.